CUACCGCUUCCAGACCCCAUACUUCUGGCCCACACAGAAAUGGGUUGCGGAGGACACUGAUUAUGCCAUUUACCUGGCAAAGAGGAACAUCCGCAAGAAAGGCAUGCUUGAACCCUACGAACAGGCUCAUUACAACCACCUCCACGAAUGGCUCAACCACAAGUGGGACUUCAUCGUGAUGCAGUCCACUGAGCAGUACAAGUAGGUGAAACCCUUCCACUCAGUA
This is a long non-coding RNA of Etheostoma cragini (Arkansas darter), 226 nucleotides long. RefSeq lists it as uncharacterized. The record is from RefSeq and is a predicted model, not a curated record. NCBI's taxonomy places the organism in Eukaryota, Metazoa, Chordata, Actinopteri, Perciformes, Percidae. The transcript is spliced from 4 exons.